Molecule: long non-coding RNA, 551 nt
Organism: Daphnia pulex (common water flea)
Lineage: Eukaryota; Metazoa; Arthropoda; Branchiopoda; Diplostraca; Daphniidae
Exons: 4
Source: RefSeq, a predicted model, not a curated record
GACAUCUAGUAAUGAGUUUUGAAUCUUAAGUUUGUCACAUUGUCAGUCAGUCACAGACAGACAUGACAUUACACAUUACACGUCGUCAUAAGUUACUUAAAUAAGUUUAACAGCGGAGAUCGGAUAACAAGUCAACUGUUUUUAAGUAAUUUCAGCUGAAGUUUUCAUGUAGGCCUACCUGGCCAACUAGGUGCUCGUGACAAUAGAAAUGAAAUGGUGUAAUCAAUAAUGCAUGCCCACAACCUUAUGUCUUCUGAAGCAAAAUAAUUUCUGUUGCAAGUUGUAAAUUUUCAAGAUAUUGAUGCCUUCGCCAGAGUCGAUUCUUUGUUGCUAUCAGUUUUGCAGACAACAGCAAGAAAAUGCUGCUACUCAAGAUUUUAUGGUGACCAAAACUUUGUUCUAAUUUAGGACAAUGUAAGGUUGAUUGUUGAUAGAUUUGAGGGUUAUCCCUCUUUGCCACUGUUAUAGUUGUUUGGAAACUGACAAGAGAUUGCUGGAAUUGAAGACUGAUAAUUUGUGUAGAUUUAGAUGAAUUAAAAGUGCAUACCUGG